This 3084-nucleotide long non-coding RNA is filed under the name Varroa destructor (honeybee mite). RNAcentral's name for it is "uncharacterized LOC111248018". The record is from RNAcentral. Lineage: Eukaryota; Metazoa; Arthropoda; Arachnida; Mesostigmata; Varroidae.
GAAACCCUCUUGGGCCUAACCUUACGACCUGUCCUCGAAGGCGUCGGUUGAGAAAGUUUGUCGACAGUCUACACGGAAAUCGAGAGUGACACACAACAACCAGUUAAUAUCGUCUGUCCUCGUAUGAAAUCAGCAAUGUCUGUAGUCAGUGUUCCCUCCGUCAACGCUUCAUCGCCGUAUUUCCACGUGGAGAUGACCUACAGCACGUCUGUUUAAUAAUCUGUGUGCGACGUAUCUGAAGUAUCUGCUAUAUUUCUAAUGUUCAGAACACCGAAAUCUUGGUGGAAAAAGGUCAGGUCUUACUGGUCUUUAUUCCACGGUUAUCAUGACUUAUACAAGAUGUGUGAUAAGCUGCAGCAAUUUUUUCAGUAUUUCCAACGUUGUAAGAAUAGGCGUAAAUAACUUGCAAACAAGAUGGCUGAUGGUCACAACGAAAUUAACCGACAAGUAACAUGUUCGGAACGAACGGACCUUGUGCCCAAUGCGACUACGCUGAUCCAUUCUCGACUUGUGUGGAAAAGCUGGAGUAUCGACCGACACUCGACAUAGGAUCAUUACUAAACAGGAUGAAUAAUCGUCCAAGUUGUAACAAGUAUACGGAAGGAAAUUAAUGUUUACGUACACCGUCCGAAGUGUAACUGCAUAAUACAUGUGGCCUAUAAAAUUAGUGAUACGGUCAGCAGAACGGUGUAUGAAUUGUUUAGACAUCUCUGCUCUGUAAGAUGAAUUAGUAGGUCUCGUGACGUUUCGAUCUUAUCGAAUGAUGCAAUUGGAGUGGUAAAUUUACAAGCAAAACAGAAGAAUAUGGCACCACCGACAGUGACUGUCCGACAAAUGCAAGACAUCUCUGAGAAACUUUCAAACGGCCCGAAUCUUUCUCCGCCACGAAAAACAGCGCUAGUAGUGAGUGAAAGCACUGUGUACUAAAAAAAGAUUUUUUUUGUAUUGAAGAAAAUGGACAUUGACAGCGUCAUUCUGAAACAGAGACUUUUCUCAGGACAACCGAAGGGAGCAUAAGCCAAAACAUGUUCACCCACGGGCCAUCGAUAACGAAGACGUCUGAACAGAAAACCCGGCCACUUCAACCGGACUUCCCAGCAGCCAAAUCAGUUUCAGGACAAUUAAUCACCACCAAGUGAAGUUAACCUAUAAAAACCGCUGAUGGGAAAGGCAGCACGGAACUGGAUAGUUAGGCUAUCGCCAACGGGUUCCACCUGAGCCAUUGGUCAAGGAUUUUGUGAAGCAAGCUCAGACAGCAUUGACGACUAGGGAGCCGACUAUGGUACGCGAUACCCUGAAUCACUGCAGCCCCGCGCAAGGAUAAUCGCAAAGCUUGUACCGAGGCUUUUAUGAGUUAGUAAAAAUUACACCGAGGAGCUGCAAUUCUGAUGCUUCUUUCACGGGAAGAUCUAGGCAGUGUAGAUAUCGUUGCGUUAACAAAGAUUUGAGCAGAGUGCCCUUUUAACCAAUCGAGUUGUUAUUCUGUGUACUACCGCGCAAUGAGGAACAGCGACACAGGUCGCCCUAAUCGAGACAUCUGUUUUCUACAGUAGUAAGGAAGGCGAUUUCAUGUCUGGCCUAGUGAAGGAUUGUGUUGUUGCCUUACGUGCCAGUGGCUAAGUUCCGUACAGCCUGUCUUCGGCCGACUGAUUCAGAGUCAACUUAUGCGGUGAUGCAAAAACUCGUCAGCUGACAGGAAGCUCUAUUUGCUCAUAAUCUGUCUCUCCUCUAUUCGACUUCAACGUACACCGACUUUAAUUACUAGGUAUUCAGUCCCACCUAAAUAUCGAUUUUCUCUUCUCUUCUCUCUCAAGAUCUUUGGUUCUCAAUAUAUUUCCAGAAAUAGAGUUAAGUUUGAGAGUGAAAGUCAUCUUUGUUAAAGGACGCACGCAUUGCUCCUAACACACCAAUAACGAUAGACCUCCCUGUUCAAGUUGCAGCUGCGCAGACUGUCACACACACACUAAACUCGAUGCCUAAGUGUAGAUAAACUCCGAAAAUGUAGCCACGAAGUUCUUGUAUCUGACUCUCCAGUGUACAGUACGGCCUUUUUGUACUACUGGCAAUAAUACACCGAGGCUAAACUGUAUUUGCAGCUUUGCCCGGAAGGCCCAGAUGGCCUUCAGGGCCUUCAGAUGGUAAUACAGCCGUAGUGCUAACUUCUUAUUCUAAAGGGCGAUCCAUAGAAGAACGUAUGCGUCAUAAAGGCAACAAUUUUUUAAAUAUGUAGAGACAUGUUCGAUCGCCGGUGCAGAACGUCAACCACGCGAGUGGCUAAUAUGCCACGGCAACUCGCCGGCUUUCCCGAUUAGCGCCUCGGUCCACAUAAAGCACUUCGUGGAUAUGUUUGCGUCAAGGAAUACGAUACCACGCGCGGUGUCCUUUUUCGCCGCAGCGUAAGAGGAGGAGAUUUUAAUAUACCACAAUAGUUUUCAGAAAAACUACGAUGCGGAAACCAAUGCAAGAUCUUCGAAGCUUACGCAGCAAGUAGACCGCUGGUCCAAGCGAGGUUUGCGACAAACAUCUUCAAUGCGCCGUUAUUCUAGCACCGUGCUGAACGAUACAAUUUAAUUAAUGUUUACAUAUUGGUGCAUUUCCAGCUCAGAGAAAGGAUACUAUUCUGUUGGUGAUAUUGCCCCGUCAUUAUAGUGAAGAGUAAUGAAGAAAAGCAUUUGCUAUAAACUAAAAGAGACUAAAUAGAUUUAAAGCGAGCACGUCAUCCCAACAGAGCAACAUAGAUUCCGGAAAAAAUGGUGCACAGAGAUAGCGUGCAGGAUCCUGACAGGCGACAUCAAGAGAGCACUAACCACGCUGCACCAUCUGCUAUACUCUUGUUCUCCGUAUUGCUGAGGAGCCUCCCUAGUCAGUUAAGAGGGCCAGGGAAAUCAAUCGAAGUCAUCAAGUUUCACAUAUAUUGAGCUCCACACCGUCCGCACGCAACAGUCACACACUUGGGAAUAACCGUAAGCCUGAUCAAGAAGGAGCAGACGAAAUUUAGAAGAGGAGGCAGAACAAUGGCUACUGACCUGGUACCGAGCCAGGUCUGUCCCAAAUCUGAUCCCUUGAAGUGUCGAAUUAGGCUAA